AUGUUCUCGUCGCACUCGGCGAGCCGCAUCAACAACAUCCGCACCUCCCUCAUCAACGCGCAGAAGGGUAAUCUCUCGGUUGCUUCUUACUUUGCUGCUAUGCGGGGGUAUGCAGAUGAGCUCGCCGCGGCGGGCAAGGCUAUCUAGGAUGACGAGCUUGUCUCCUACAUCAUCCAUGGGUUAGAUGCAGAUUACCAACCUCUGGUGUCUGCCCUCGAUGCUCGUCUCACCCCCGUCACACUCGACGAGCUCUUCGCCAUGCUCUCCAACUUCGACCAACGCAUGGCCCAGUACCACGGGUCCGGC
This 306-nucleotide ribosomal RNA is filed under the name Triticum aestivum (bread wheat). RNAcentral describes it as "partial small subunit ribosomal RNA". The record is from RNAcentral. Lineage: Eukaryota; Viridiplantae; Streptophyta; Magnoliopsida; Poales; Poaceae.